CGGAGGGUGCGAGCGUUGUCCGGAAUCACUGGGCGUAAAGGGCGCGUAGGCGGUCUGCUAAGCGUGCGGUGAAAGCCUGGGGCUCAACCCCAGGUCUGCCGUGCGAACUGGUGGACUCGAGCACUGUAGAGGCAGGUGGAAUUCCGGGUGUAGCGGUGGAAUGCGUAGAGAUCCGGAAGAACACCGGUGGCGAAGGCGGCCUGCUGGGCAGUUGCUGACGCUAAAGCGCGACAGCGUGGGGAGCAAACAGGAUUAGAUACCCUGGUAGUCCACGCCGUAAACGAUGGGAACUAGGUGCUUGGGGGAGCGACCCCCUGAGUGCCGGCGCUAACGCAUUAAGUUCCCCGCCUGGGGAGUACGGCCGCAAGGCUG
RNAcentral lists this ribosomal RNA (372 nucleotides) under uncultured organism. Its description in RNAcentral is "bacterial SSU rRNA". It matches the Rfam family "Bacterial small subunit ribosomal RNA", at positions 526 to 896 of the family's 1533-position model. The record is from RNAcentral.